UACGUAGGGGGCAAGCGUUGUCCGGAAUCAUUGGGCGUAAAGCGCGUGUAGGCGGCUCGAUAAGUCUGCUGUGAAAGUCCAGGGCUCAACCCUGGGAUGCCGGUGGAUACUGUCGAGCUCGAGUCCGGAAGGGGCGAGUGGAAUUCCUGGUGUAGCGGUGAAAUGCGCAGAUAUCAGGAGGAACACCAAUGGCGAAGGCAGCUCGCUGGGACGUGACUGACGCUGAGACGCGAAAGCGUGGGGAGCAAACAGG
Molecule: ribosomal RNA, 253 nt
Filed under: uncultured bacterium
Lineage: Bacteria
Description: partial 16S ribosomal RNA
Rfam family: Bacterial small subunit ribosomal RNA
Source: RNAcentral